This 289-nucleotide ribosomal RNA is filed under the name Aristostomias scintillans (shiny loosejaw). RNAcentral describes it as "partial 16S ribosomal RNA". It matches the Rfam family "Bacterial large subunit ribosomal RNA", at positions 1953 to 2337 of the family's 2925-position model. The record is from RNAcentral. Lineage: Eukaryota; Metazoa; Chordata; Actinopteri; Stomiiformes; Stomiidae.
AAGGUAGCGCAAUCACUUGUUUCUUAAAUGGAGACCUGUAUGAAUGGCUUCACGAGGGCUUAUCUGUCUCCUCUUCCCAGUCAAUGAAAUUGAUCUUCCCGUGCAGAAGCGGGACUAGCACAUAAGACGAGAAGACCCUAUGGAGCUUUAGGCACUAGGCAGCCCACGACACACGUCUGUUCAAACAGAACAAAACCGCGCGGCCCCUGUCCUGCUGCCUUUGGUUGGGGCGACCCCGGAGGAAAGAAUAGCCUCCAUGAGGAACGAUGAGUACUACUCUCACAAGUCA